AAACUUUCAACAACGGACUCUUGGUUCUGGCAUCGAUGAAGAACGCAGCGAAAUGCGACAGGUAAUGUGAAUUGCAGAAUUCAGUGAAGCAUCGAAUCUUUGAACGCACAUUGCGGCCGCCAGCAUUCUGGCGGGCAUGCCUGUUCGAGCGUCAUUU
RNAcentral lists this ribosomal RNA (157 nucleotides) under Akanthomyces muscarius. RNAcentral's name for it is "5.8 S ribosomal RNA". It matches the Rfam family "5.8S ribosomal RNA". From Rfam's summary of the family: 5.8S ribosomal RNA (5.8S rRNA) is a component of the large subunit of the eukaryotic ribosome. It is transcribed by RNA polymerase I as part of the 45S precursor that also contains 18S and 28S rRNA. Functionally, it is thought that 5.8S rRNA may be involved in ribosome translocation. Lineage: Eukaryota; Fungi; Ascomycota; Sordariomycetes; Hypocreales; Cordycipitaceae. The record is from RNAcentral.